This 1064-nucleotide long non-coding RNA is filed under the name Oryctolagus cuniculus (rabbit). RNAcentral's name for it is "lncRNA (ENSOCUG00000037392.1)". Lineage: Eukaryota; Metazoa; Chordata; Mammalia; Lagomorpha; Leporidae. The record is from RNAcentral.
AUGACUCAUCCUCAUCUUAUUCAUGAAACCAGGGGCUGGGAAGGAAGCGCCCCUGGCCUUGCGCCACCGCAGCACUUCCUGCAGGGGUCAGCCGCUCACGGCUCUGCCGCCCACUUUCCCGCCUCUCCCGAGAGCUCCCUGCACCUGCUCCGCCUGUUCCCGGGCUCCCGGGGCCGCCCUGGGCAGAUCCGGGAGCCAACAGAUGGGCCGUGUGAUGAGCCGGAAGCAGCCUCAGCCUCUGGGGGAGAACGUGACACACACAGGAGCGCAUGGGAAAACAAGGAAAAUGAAACCAUCAGUGCCGGCGACAGGCUGCUGACCGGGCGGGAGAGAGCGCGUGGAGCGCCAGGGCUGUGGCUCCCGUCUGUGCCCUCCCCACGGGGGCCAGGCCACGGGCACGCCCUCGGGCAGCUCCCUCUGCCGGGCGCUGCACGGGGACUUCCUCCAGGGCUGGCCCAGGGCUGGCGGGAUCCCUGGACCUGGUUCUCAGACGGGCUCCUCUCGGCGAGCGUGGAAGGGAAGGCGGCCCUCGGCGGCAGCGACGUGGGCCUCAGCUCGCCCGGCUGGAUGCGUCUCAUCUGUGCACGCGCGCGGCUCACUGCUCACAGCUGCGGGGGCCAUGGGGGCGUUGUCACCACUUCAAGGAGGACACUGAGACUUGGGAGACUCCGGCUGUGCCUGGGCUCGCGGCCAGGAGCCAGGAGUGGGAUCCAGCGCCGCCCGCCUCCUCCUGCUGCCUCCACACUGGAUCCUACUGGCCCCAGGGUGUGGGCACAGCUUAGCCGGCCGCCUCUCGAGCCAUGAGUCCCCUUACAGGGGUGCACAGGCCACGUGUCCACGCAAGCCCCAGGUUCUGUGGCCUCACCACGCACGCACAAACACCAGCCUUGGGUGCUGACGGCAGGAGGCAGUGCACCUGCUCCUGGGGCUUCCCCAGGGGGAAUGGCUGGCCACCACUGACGUGGCUAAAGCGGUGUGACUGCUUGGCUGAGCUGUGGAGCCCAGAUAUCUGGUUCAACCUUUUUUUUAUUCCAGUUUGUUUGUUUGUUUUUUUUUUUUUUUUU